AACGUACGCUGGCGGCACGCCUAACACAUGCAAGUCGAACGAAGUAGCAAUACUUAGUGGCAGACGGGUGAGUAACAUGUAGGUAUCUGCCCUUUGGCCUGGAAUAACACGAGGAAACUUGUGCUAAUACCGGAUAAGUCUUUACGGAGAAAGCUUUAUGCACCAUUGGAUGAGCCUGCACUUGAUUAGUUUGUUGGUGGGGUAAUGGCCUACCAAGACUGUGAUCAAUAGCUGAUUUGAGAGGAUGAUCAGCCACAUUGGGACUGAGACACGGCCCAAACUCCUACGGGAGGCAGCAGUGGGGAAUCUUGCACAAUGGAGGAAACUCUGAUGCAGCGAUGCCGCGUGAGUGAAGAAGGCCCUUGGGUUGUAAAGCUCUUUCGUCGGGGAAGAAAAUGACUGUACCCGAAUAAGAAGGUCCGGCUAACUUCGUGCCAGCAGCCGCGGUAAUACGAAGGGACCUAGCGUAGUUCGGAAUUACUGGGCUUAAAGAGUUCGUAGGUGGUUGAAAAAGUUAGUGGUGAAAUCCCAGAGCUUAACUCUGGAACUGCCAUUAAAACUUUUCGGCUAGAGUAUGAUAGAGGAAAGCAGAAUUUCUAGUGUAGAGGUGAAAUUCGUAGAUAUUAGAAAGAAUACCAAUUGCGAAGGCAGCUUUCUGGAUCAUUACUGACACUGAGGAACGAAAGCAUGGGUAGCGAAGAGGAUUAGAUACCCUCGUAGUCCAUGCCGUAAACGAUGUGUGUUAGACGUUGGAAAUUUAUUUUCAGUGUCGCAGGGAAACCGAUAAACACACCGCCUGGGGAGUACGACCGCAAGGUUAAAACUCAAAUGAAUUGACGGGGACCCGCACAAGUAGUGGAGCAUGUGGUUUAAUUCGAAGAUACGCGCAGAACCUUACCAACACUUGACAUGUUCGUCGCGACUCUAAGAGAUUAGAGUUUUCGGUUCGGCCGGACGAAACACAGGUGCUGCAUGGCUGUCGUCAGCUCGCGUCGUGAGAUGUUGGGUUAAGUCCCGCAACGAGCGCAACCCUCACUUUUAGUUGCCAUCAUUAAGUUGGGCACUCUGAAGGAACUGCCAGUGAUAAGCUGGAGGAAGGUGGGGAUGACGUCAAGUCCUCAUGGCCCUUACGUGUUGGGCUACACACGUGCUACAAUGGUAUCUACAACAGGAAGCAAGACUGCGAAGUUAAGCAAAUCCCUAAAAGAUACCUCAGUUCGGAUUGCACUCUGCAACUCGAGUGCAUGAAGCUGGAAUUACUAGUAAUCGUGGAUCAGCGUGCCACGGUGAAUGCGUUCCCGGGUCU
RNAcentral lists this ribosomal RNA (1306 nucleotides) under uncultured bacterium. RNAcentral's name for it is "bacterial SSU rRNA". It matches the Rfam family "Bacterial small subunit ribosomal RNA", at positions 28 to 1381 of the family's 1533-position model. The record is from RNAcentral.